RNAcentral lists this ribosomal RNA (406 nucleotides) under uncultured bacterium. RNAcentral's name for it is "partial 16S ribosomal RNA". It matches the Rfam family "Bacterial small subunit ribosomal RNA", at positions 30 to 526 of the family's 1533-position model. The record is from RNAcentral.
AUUGAACGCUGGCGGCAUGCCUAACACAUGCAAGUCGAACGAGCGGCGGACGGGUGAGUAAUGUAUGGGGAUGUGCCCGAUAGAGGGGGAUAACUACUGGAAACGGUGGCUAAUACCGCAUACUAUCGGAUCAGCCCAUAUGGGAUUAGCUAGUAGGUGGGGUAAAGGCUCACCUAGGCGACGAUCUCUAGCUGGUCUGAGAGGAUGAUCAGCCACACUGGGACUGAGACACGGCCCAGACUCCUACGGGAGGCAGCAGUGGGGAAUAUUGGACAAUGGGCGCAAGCCUGAUGCAGCCAUGCCGCGUGUAUGAAGAAGGCCUUCGGGUUGUAAAGUACUUUCAGCGGGGAGGCGUUACCCGCAGAAGAAGCACCGGCUAACUACGUGCCAGCAGCCGCGGUAAUUC